GUGUAGUGGUUAGUACAUCUGCUUUACAUGCAGAAGGUCCUGGGUUCGCACCCCAG
RNAcentral lists this transfer RNA (56 nucleotides) under Pteropus alecto (black flying fox). It matches the Rfam family "tRNA", at positions 10 to 63 of the family's 71-position model. From Rfam's summary of the family: Transfer RNA (tRNA) molecules are approximately 80 nucleotides in length. Lineage: Eukaryota; Metazoa; Chordata; Mammalia; Chiroptera; Pteropodidae. RNAcentral also lists the same sequence under 1 other name. The record is from Rfam by way of RNAcentral.